Merluccius polli (Benguela hake) is the source of this 75-nucleotide non-coding RNA. The record is from the annotation of a GenBank genome assembly. NCBI's taxonomy places the organism in Eukaryota, Metazoa, Chordata, Actinopteri, Gadiformes, Merlucciidae.
GGCCUGUCUGGCUCAACUGGUAGAGCAUGGCAUUAGUAUUAGCCAGGGUUAGGGGUUCAAUUCUCACUGGGGCCA